GACAGAGGGUGCAAACGUUGCUCGGAAUUACUGGGCGUAAAGCGCGUGUAGGUGGAUUGGUGUGUCAGAUGUGAAAUCCCUGGGCUCAACCCAGGAACUGCACCUGAAACUACCAGUCUUGAGUGGUGGAGAGGGAAGUGGAAUUCCUGGUGUAGAGGUGAAAUUCGUAGAUAUCAGGAGGAACACCAGUGGCGAAGGCGGCUUCCUGGACACCAACGUGACGCUGAGACGCGAAAGCGUGGGGAGCAACAGG
Molecule: ribosomal RNA, 253 nt
Filed under: uncultured bacterium
Lineage: Bacteria
Description: partial 16S ribosomal RNA
Rfam family: Bacterial small subunit ribosomal RNA
Source: RNAcentral